CUGUCACGGAAACUGCUCCGUCAGCACGGGUCCUGGAGUGCUAGAGAUACAGCGCGCACCGGCCUGAGACAGCCAUGAACAAGUAUCUAAAUUUGGCUCCCAACCCCCACAUCAGGUGGCUCAUAACAGUCUUAAAUCCAGCCCCAAGGGAUUUUUGUGUUACCAUGGCACUGACUGCUCUUCCAAAGGUCCUGAAUUCAAAUUCCAACAACUGCAUGGUGGCUUACAACCAUUUGUAAUGAGAUCUGAUGCCCUCUUCUGGAGUGUCUGAAGACAGCUA
Long non-coding RNA from Apodemus sylvaticus (European woodmouse), 280 nucleotides. RefSeq lists it as uncharacterized. The record is from RefSeq and is a predicted model, not a curated record. Lineage: Eukaryota; Metazoa; Chordata; Mammalia; Rodentia; Muridae. The transcript is spliced from 3 exons.